RNAcentral lists this ribosomal RNA (2787 nucleotides) under Triticum aestivum (bread wheat). Its description in RNAcentral is "partial small subunit ribosomal RNA". The record is from RNAcentral. Lineage: Eukaryota; Viridiplantae; Streptophyta; Magnoliopsida; Poales; Poaceae.
AUGGCGGGGGCUGUUGUCGGGCAGCUGGUGGUCUCCCUUGGUGCGGCGCUGGCGAAAGAGACAGCUAUCUUUGGCGGGGCACUGCUCGGCAAGGAAGCCGCCGCCCUCAGGGGCCUCUUCGGCAAGAUCCGCGACUCCAAGGUGGAGCUGGAGAGCAUGCAGGCCUACCUGCAGGAGGCGGAGCGGUUCAAGGACACCGACAAGACCACAGCCAUUUUUGUCGGCGAGGUCAGGGGCUUCGCCUUCCAGAUCGAGGAUGUCGUUGACGAGUUCACCUACAAGCUGGAGGAGUGCAAGCACGGAGGGUUCGCUGGCAAGAUGAAGAAGAGGCUCAAGCAUAUCAAAACCUGGCACCGCCUAGCAGCCAAGCUCCAAGAAAUCAAAGCCCAGCUGAAAGAUGCCAAGAGGAGGAAGCAGGAUUACGCCGUCACUGGCAGAUUUGCUUCUUCUGCCAGAUCGAUAAAUCAAGGUCAAGCUCUUCACUUCACCAGGGAUGAGGACCUUGUGGGGAUAGAGGAGAACAGGGACAGGUUGAUACGGUGGCUGACCAUCGGCGGUUGUAGUGGUCAUGGUCUAGCGCAGAGCAGCAGCAAGGUUACCUCGGUGUGGGGGAUGCCUGGUGUUGGUAAAACCACUCUGGUUGCUCAUGUGUACAACACUGUAAAAGUGGAUUUCGACGCGGCGGCGUGGGUAACUGUGUCGGAGAGUUACCGUAUCAAGGAUCUGCUGAAGAAAAUUGCCGCCCAGUUCGGCAUCACAGUCGACGUCGCCGACAUUGAGAUGAGAGACCUAGCAGAGUCCAUCCACAACUACCUUCAAGGUAAAAAGUUCAUGGUCCUGGAUGAUGUUUGGGCUGCGCGUGUGUGGUCCGAGAUAAGGAAUGUCUUCCCAACGUCUAACUGUACCGGCCGAUUUGUUAUCACAUCAAGAAAGCAUGAAGUGUCACUGUUGGCAACUAGGGAGUCUGCAAUUCACUUGGAACCGUUACAACCACAUCACUCCUGGGUGUUGUUUUGCAAAGGGGCCUUUUGGAAUGAUAAUGUCAAUGAGUGCCCGUUGGAAUUGCAAGAAUUGGCUGGGAAGUUCAUAACAAAGUGUCAAGGCUUGCCUAUUGCUAUUGCUUGCAUUGGCCGCCUACUCUCCUGCAAAUCCCCAACUUCUGCUGAAUGGGAGGAUGUGUACAGGGGUUUGGAUUCACAAUUGGCGAAAGAUGUGAUCCCCGAUGCUCAUAUGAUCCUAAAAGUCAGCUUGGAGGACCUUCCGUAUGAUUUGAAGAAUUGUUUCCUACACUGUGCAUUGUCUCCAGAAGAUUAUGUAUUAAAGAGGAGGAAGACAAUGAGGCUCUGGAUCGCUGCGGGGUUUAUCAGGGAAAAAGAUGAGAGCAAAACAUUGGAGGAAGUGGCAGAGGGAUACUUGGCUGAGCUUGUGAACCGAAGCCUUUUACAGGUAGUAGAAAGGAAUUAUGCCGGACGACUGAAAUACUGCAGGAUGCAUGAUGUCAUACGCCUUCUUGCCCUCAACAAAGCCAAGGAGGAAUGCUUCGGUAAAGUUUAUAAUGGCUCUGCUACUGGGGCAUUCUCUGUAGACGGUGCACGUCGCAUAUCGGUCCAUGGGGGAAAUCUUGAACAACUGAGCCGAUCUGGCACAACACAUCUCCGUGCACUCUAUGUAUUUGGGAGGUAUAUCGAGGUCGAUUUGCUGAAGCCUAUCCUAACAUCUUCGAAACUGCUGACGAUGUUGGAUCUUCAAGGUACCUGUAUCAAAAUGCUGCCCAGUGAGGUAUUCAACAUGUUUAAUCUGCGUUAUUUGGGUCUUAGAGCUACUGGGAUGGAAAGCCUGCCUGAAGCAGUAGUGAGGUUGCAAAACCUGGAAGUCUUGGAUGCUUCCAAAUCUAAGUUGACGUAUUUGCCAAACAGUGUUGUAAAACUUAAGAAGCUGAGAUACCUGUAUGCAUGGUCUGUUGUUACAUCUGAGGAAUUUGAAAUUGGAAAUCUAAGUGGAGUCAAGGUGCCCAAUGGCAUACAACAGUUGGCAGGACUGCAGGCUCUUCAGUCCGUCAAAGCUGCUCCAGAGUUUCUGCGUGAAGUUUCAGCUCUGACAGAGCUGAGAACAUUUGGUGUCUGCAACGUGAGAAGUGAACAAUCUGCUGAUUUGAGCAAUGCUAUCACCAGAAUGAGCCAUCUUGUUCAUCUCGAAAUUGUUGCUGCAGCUGAGAAUGAGGUAUUGCAGUUUGAAGGUCUAUAUUUACCUCCAACCCUUUCUUCGUUUGGUUUAGCAGGGCAGCUAGAAAAAACAUCGAUACCUCAGCUUUUCUCUUCUUGGUCACACCUUAAUAGCCUCACUCGAUUGCACCUGGCAUUCUCCAAUAUUGAUGAGCAAACCUUUUCCUUUCUGCACAUGUUACGUGGUCUACGCUUUCUUGAGGUAAUGAAGGCUUUUGAAGGGAAGAGGUUGGAAUUUUGCGCAGGGUCAUUUCCUAAACUUCGAUUUCUACACAUAUGGGGCGCAGCACAACUCAACCAAGUUAGAAUAGAAGAGAGUGCGCUAAAAAUCCUCGCUGAGCUAUGGUUCACAGACUGCCCUGAGCUAAAGUUUCUUCCAGAUGGCAUCGAACACCUUUCAGCCCUUGAGAAAUUAAUUCUGAAAGACACGUCAGAAGUGCUGAUAAAGAAGCUCCAGCAGAAGAGAGAUUCAGAUGAAUGCAGCAAAGAUGCAAUGAAGAUUAGCCACAUAAGGAAUGUUACAGUUGCACUGAGCCAUAAUGGAUUUGAGGAAAGGAUUAGGUGA